GUGCCAGCCGCCGCGGUAAUACCGGCAGCCCGAGUGAUGACCGCUAUUAUUGGGCCUAAAGCGUCCGUAGCUGGCCACGCAAGUUCGUCGGGAAAUCUGCGCGCUUAACGCGCAGGCGUCCGGUGGAAACUGCAUGGCUUGGGACCGGAAGACCAGAGGGGUACGUCUGGGGUAGGAGUGAAAUCCUGUAAUCCUGGACGGACCGCCGGUGGCGAAAGCGCCUCAGGAGAACGGAUCCGACAGUGAGGGACGAAAGCUAGGGUCUCGAACCGGAUUAGAAACCCUGGUAGUCC
Molecule: ribosomal RNA, 293 nt
Filed under: uncultured prokaryote
Description: partial 16S ribosomal RNA
Rfam family: Archaeal small subunit ribosomal RNA
Source: RNAcentral